Choloepus didactylus (southern two-toed sloth) is the source of this 792-nucleotide long non-coding RNA. RefSeq lists it as uncharacterized. Lineage: Eukaryota; Metazoa; Chordata; Mammalia; Pilosa; Megalonychidae. The record is from RefSeq and is a predicted model, not a curated record. The transcript has 2 exons.
CUGGGGGUAGAUCCUAGCAAUCGUGCUUUAACAAACCCUCCAGGUGUCUGAUGUGGUCAAAAGUUUGAAAACCACUGAUUUAAGGUAAUUGUGAUAAUCUUAUUCCCCUUUCCAAUAAUUGGAUUAAACAUGGACAUAUGACCCAAUCUUGGCCUAGAGGACCUGAGAAGUCAGCUGAGUGGGAGUGGAGUGGUGCCCUGAUUUUCUUUGCUAAUUCAGAGAGGUACGUAGUGUAAUUGUCUUUUUCUUUGCAGGAUGCUGCUUGUUGCAGUUGUGACACCUGGAACUUUCUUGCCACCUUGCAACUAUGAGGAAGACAUUUUCCAAGAAAGGAGUAGCGGAAAGACUCUGAAUGCUCCAAGAAGAUGCCAAACACUUGGAUGGAAAGAUAUUCAAUUGUUCAUAUGUGUUGAAUGAUGUGGAUGUUUAACUUCUGAAAAUGAAGCGUAUGUAGAGUGAAGCAAUGUUUUCACAUCUCAGCUAUGCAUUGGUAUUAAAUGGAAACACCAUUAAGCAAAACCAGGAAGAUGUGAAAAACAGAUCACCAAAGAGUAAAGCUUGACAUGGAAAUCACUGGCAAACUGUUCUGCCCAUAGAGCAAUUCACACAUUCAUUUUUUCAAUCAUUCAAAAUGAAUUGAAAAUCUACCAUGUGCAGGACAUUGCAGUAGGUGUGGCUGGGUAGUUAUGAUUCCUGUGUAAAUAUGACUUCAUAGACCGAAAGACAGCCUUUGUCUUCCAGGAAUAUACAUUUAGGCGUGAGCAGCUGAAAUAAUAAAAUGGAAAGAUACCA